GACGAACCGUGCGAACGUUAUUCGGAAUCACUGGGCUUAAAGGGCGCGUAGGCGGAUUUGCAAGUCUGUGGUGAAAUCCUCCAGCUUAACUGGAGAAGUGCCAUGGAUACUGCGAGUCUCGAGGAAGGUAGGGGCAUCUGGAACUGCCGGUGGAGCGGUGAAAUGCGUUGAUAUCCAUAGGAACUCCGGUGGCGAAAGCGGUGUGCUGGAUCCCUUCUGACGCUGAGGCGCGAAAGCCAGGGGAGCGAACGGG
This 253-nucleotide ribosomal RNA is filed under the name uncultured bacterium. Its description in RNAcentral is "partial 16S ribosomal RNA". It matches the Rfam family "Bacterial small subunit ribosomal RNA", at positions 524 to 776 of the family's 1533-position model. The record is from RNAcentral.